RNAcentral lists this non-coding RNA (26 nucleotides) under Mus musculus (house mouse). The record is from RNAcentral. Lineage: Eukaryota; Metazoa; Chordata; Mammalia; Rodentia; Muridae.
UGGUAGACAGGCAUGAAACACAAGCU